UACAGAGGUGCCAAGCGUUGUUCGGAUUUACUGGGCGUAAAGGGUGCGUAGGCGGUCAUGCAAGUCGGAUGUGAAAGCCCGGGGCCUAACCCCGGAACGGCAUUCGAAACUGCACGGCUCGAGGUCUGGAGAGGUGACUGGAAUUCUCGGUGUAGCAGUGAAAUGCGUAGAUAUCGAGAGGAACACCAGAGGCGAAGGCGAGUCACUGGACAGAACCUGACGCUGAGGCACGAAAGCCAGGGGAG
This 245-nucleotide ribosomal RNA is filed under the name uncultured bacterium. Its description in RNAcentral is "partial 16S ribosomal RNA". It matches the Rfam family "Bacterial small subunit ribosomal RNA", at positions 524 to 768 of the family's 1533-position model. The record is from RNAcentral.